UGAGGAAAUUGGACAAUGGGCGGAAGCCUGAUCCAGCCUGCCGCGUGCAGGAAGACUGCCCUAUGGGUUGUAAACUGCUUUUGUACGGGAAGAAACCUUUCCACGUGUGGAGAGCUGACGGUACUGUAAGAAUAAGCAUCGGCUAACUCCGUGCCAGCAGCCGCGGUAAUA
This 171-nucleotide ribosomal RNA is filed under the name uncultured Flavobacteriia bacterium. RNAcentral's name for it is "partial 16S ribosomal RNA". It matches the Rfam family "Bacterial small subunit ribosomal RNA", at positions 356 to 525 of the family's 1533-position model. Lineage: Bacteria; Pseudomonadati; Bacteroidota; Flavobacteriia. The record is from RNAcentral.